GGUAAGGUGGCUCAGUGGGAGAGUGCUUGCCUUACAUGCAUGAGGCCCUGGGUUCGAUUCCUCAGCACCA
This 70-nucleotide transfer RNA is filed under the name Dipodomys ordii (Ord's kangaroo rat). It matches the Rfam family "tRNA". Rfam says of the family: Transfer RNA (tRNA) molecules are approximately 80 nucleotides in length. Their secondary structure includes four short double-helical elements and three loops (D, anti-codon, and T loops). Lineage: Eukaryota; Metazoa; Chordata; Mammalia; Rodentia; Heteromyidae. The record is from Rfam by way of RNAcentral.